AGAUUAAACUGAAGAGUUUGAUCCUGGCUCAGAUUGAACGCUGGCGGCAUGCCUUACACAUGCAAGUCGAACGGCAGCGCGGGCUUCGGCCUGGCGGCGAGUGGCGGACGGGUGAGUAAUGCAUCGGAACGUGCCCACGAGUGGGGGAUAACGUAGCGAAAGUUACGCUAAUACCGCAUACGUACUGAGGUAGAAAGCGGGGGAUCGAAAGACCUCGCGCUCAUGGAGCGGCCGAUGUCGGAUUAGCUAGUUGGUGGGGUAAAAGCUCACCAAGGCGACGAUCCGUAGCUGGUCUGAGAGGACGACCAGCCACACUGGGACUGAGACACGGCCCAGACUCCUACGGGAGGCAGCAGUGGGGAAUCUUGGACAAUGGGGGAAACCCUGAUCCAGCAAUGCCGCGUGUGGGAUGAAGGCCCUCGGGUUGUAAACCACUUUUGGCAGGAAAGAAAUCGCCUGUGCUAAUACCAUGGGUGGAUGACGGUACCUGCAGAAUAAGCACCGGCUAACUACGUGCCAGCAGCCGCGGUAAUACGUAGGGUGCGAGCGUUAAUCGGAAUUACUGGGCGUAAAGCGUGCGCAGGCGGUU
Molecule: ribosomal RNA, 589 nt
Filed under: Betaproteobacteria bacterium
Lineage: Bacteria; Pseudomonadati; Pseudomonadota; Betaproteobacteria
Description: bacterial SSU rRNA
Rfam family: Bacterial small subunit ribosomal RNA
Source: RNAcentral